This is a long non-coding RNA of Acanthochromis polyacanthus (spiny chromis), 1888 nucleotides long. RefSeq lists it as uncharacterized. The record is from RefSeq and is a predicted model, not a curated record. Lineage: Eukaryota; Metazoa; Chordata; Actinopteri; Pomacentridae. The transcript is spliced from 2 exons.
CAGGAAAAUGUGCAUUAUUCCAGAUUCAUCUUUAUACAAAGAGUAGCUUCUUUAGUUUCAGUAGCACCACCUGGUGCUAUCCCAGGGACGAUAACUAUUAGUGAUACUUAACGUCAGCUCUGCUCCAUCCCGACUGAGGUAUUGCUAAGAUAAGGCGGAACAGCUUCAAAAUGUGGUUCCAAACGUGCUGAAGUUCAUCUGGCAUCCCAUAUUCUAAGUAAGUACAUAUUACACUUACGUUGUAACUAGUAAUCUGUAACCUACAGGAUAACCUCACGAACUCUGAUUUUCUUUGUUUGUGUAGACCUCACCUCUUCAUUCUCAGUCACCUGGGGCCUGUUUCACGAAGCAGGUUCACUGAAAACUCUGAGUUUCUUAACCCUGAAAUGAGGGAAACUCAGAGUUUUCCGUUUCACGAAGCGAGGUAACUUAACCCUGAGACAGAGGGGUAACUCUAGCCUGUUUCACAAAGAGGGGUAACUUAAACUCUCGGUCAGUUACCGCAGUAACAGACUAUGACUCUAACCUGGUCACCAGCAGGUUUAUCUGAGAAAACCUCCAGUUUCUCUCCGUCUCCGCCCUCUUUCAGCCACACACGCCGUUUCAUUUCCUCAUUCAUUCAGUCAGUAAGCGAGCGAGUUUUGGCGUAGAACAGCUUUUAUUAACGAUCCAGUGGAUAAAGGAGCAGCAUUACUGCACAGAUAAUUAAAUAUUCGUCGGUGGAUUGUUAUCAGACCGCGCAUAAAUGUUCUCGCAUUUCCGGACAAUUAUCGGUUUGAGCGGUACCGUUUCGUAAUCGUUUUAAAUCCAUAAUCUACAUAAACAACCUAAUCCGUCCUUACAUUUACAUUACCAACCAGUCAUGCUCUCACAUCCAGCAGAUAUUGUGUGUUGCGCUGCGGUUCUUUGCAAAUGGAAGUUUUUAUAUGAUGUCGGAGAUGCAGAGCACUACAGUAAGACAACUGUAUGCAGGACAGUCAGAAAAGUUUUCCUGGCUCUGAAAUGACUUUUACUCAUCAUUGUGGACAUAAACCUGUCAGAACAUCAAGAGGAGUUCCACAGGAUUACAGGUGAAUGAUGUAGAGAUCUGUUAAAUUCAUUUUAGAUCAUAUUCUGUUAAUGACAUUGUGCUGCAGCCUCAGACUGGGAUUAGUCAUUUUAAUUUCUUUUAGGAUUUCCCAGUGUGAUUGGCUGCAUAGAUGCACACACAUCCCCAUCACAGCUCCCUCACAUCAUGAACAGGAAGUCCAUUCACAGCAUAAAUGUGCAGGUAGGCUACAGGUAGACUGACUACUGUUUCUAAAUGUUAAAGACUGCAUCAUAGUUCAACAUCUGUCAUUCUCUGCACUGUCCAGAUCAUAUGUGAUGCUGCAUACAUCAUUUCUAAUGUGGAGGCCACGUGGUCUGGGUCUGUUCAUGACUCCAGGAUUUAUGGAGAGUCUAACCUGAGCAACAGACUGCAGCGUGGAGAGUUUGAUGGCCUUCUGCUGGGUGACAGGGGUUACCAUGCCAACCCAGGCUGAUGACCUCAUACCCUGACCCUGAACCAGGCCCCCAACAGAACUUCAACCGGACUCACUGCAGGACCAGAGCCCGGGUGGAGAUGACCAUAGGCCUGCUGAAAGCCCGUUUCCAGAGCCUACGUCUCCUCAGGGUGACCCCUGAGAGGGCCUGUGAUAUUACUGUGGCAUGUGUUGUUCUUCAUAAUAUUACCACUAUUAGAGGAGAGCAACACCCUGCCCUACAAACUGAAGACCCAGAUGAUGAGCCCAUCCACCUGCAGCUAUCCAGGACAGCAGAGCAGUCAGAGACACCGUAUGCAAUAAUCACUUUAGAGUUUAAGUCUCCAUCAUCACCACCACAGCAAAUAAAGACAUGAUACACAUUU